GCAGAAUUUUACUGUGUAGCUCAGUGUCUCACUACUGGCUCACUUGUCACACCUCUCGAGUUUAUUCUUCAUUUCAUUAUUGUUUCCAUAUUCAUGUUUUCACCCGUAUCAUGCUAGAGAAGUCUUGCGCUUCGCAUGUAGUCACUUGACGAUUGAGUGGAAAAAGCCACACGGCCUAUCCGCUUGAUUCGUUACACUGGUGGCAGCGAUUACCGAACUCAACGCUUCGAGGAGAUUGGAGAACCUUGGCCAACCACCCACCUACCACAAAGGACGGCCAUACACUCUUCAGCUUCAAUCAUCACGACCAUCCCAGGAAGAACAACCGAAGAGGAUCCGCAAAGAACUGACAAUUCAUUUUAGAGUAGACUGUAUGAGUAAUAUCACAGUUGAAUUAAGAAUCAAGAAACGUGAAACGUGAAACAAGUUAUCGACUAAUUCAAAAAAUAUUGAUGGGAGCGAGACAGAAAAAAUUCUCGCCAGCCAUGAUUAAACAAGACAAUUAAAUUUUAAUGCAUAAAUGUGUAUCUCACUGUCAGUUCUGUGCAGUUUUAUGUCUCUUUAUAGGUUGCGGGACGCAACCUGUCGGGAGGGUGAGUGAUGUAAGUAUUCUGAGAUGCGCCUUUCUAUUUUUGAUCUGGGUCAAAGUUGAUCCAAGUGCCUUUCUCUUUUGUGACCUGUUGUGACCUACCAAUUUCCCUUUCUCUUGACCUAUUAUUUCUCACUUUCCCUUUACUUGUUUUCGGUAUAAAACCCAACGCAGAGUCUCAUUCUUGAGCUCAGUCUUUCUGGCUCAUUCUGUAGUUCAAGUUGAUUCUGGUUAUGUAGACGAGAUGAGGCCCCAGUCAGUAUACUCUGGGAUGCUAUUCCUAGUCUAUGUAGCUAUUGGAAACUUACUAUGUUCUAUACCUUUUUCUUCAUUAAAUGUAUUGAUUUUUAAUUGUAUGUAAGCUUGAAGAGCCUAAGUACCAUGUUGGCUGAUCAACUUUCAUGUAAGAACAAUACAAACUAAUUACUUUCAA
Molecule: long non-coding RNA, 1022 nt
Organism: Daphnia pulex (common water flea)
Lineage: Eukaryota; Metazoa; Arthropoda; Branchiopoda; Diplostraca; Daphniidae
Exons: 2
Source: RefSeq, a predicted model, not a curated record